AGUGAACGCUGGCGGUAGGCCUAACACAUGCAAGUCGAACGGCAGCACAGUAAGAGCUUGCUCUUACGGGUGGCGAGUGGCGGACGGGUGAGGAAUAUAUCGGAAUCUACUUUUUCGUGGGGGAUAACGUAGGGAAACUUACGCUAAUACCGCAUACGACCUACGGGUGAAAGCAGGGGAUCUUCGGACCUUGCGCGAUUGAAUGAGCCGAUGUCGGAUUAGCUAGUUGGCGGGGUAAAGGCCCACCAAGGCGACGAUCCGUAGCUGGUCUGAGAGGAUGAUCAGCCACACUGGAACUGAGACACGGUCCAGACUCCUACGGGAGGCAGCAGUGGGGAAUAUUGGACAGUGGGCGCAAGCCUGAUCCAGCCAUACCGAGUGGGUGAAGAAGGCCUUCGGGUUGUAAAGCCCUUUUGUUGGGAAAGAAAAGCAGCAGGUUAAUACCCCGCUGUUCUGACGGUACCCAAAGAAUAAGCACCGGCUAACUUCGUG
This 492-nucleotide ribosomal RNA is filed under the name uncultured bacterium. Its description in RNAcentral is "partial 16S ribosomal RNA". It matches the Rfam family "Bacterial small subunit ribosomal RNA", at positions 29 to 507 of the family's 1533-position model. The record is from RNAcentral.